ACACUUACUUGACAGGAGAGAUAUCAUAAUCACAAAGGCGGCUUUCCCAGGGCAAGGCUUAAUUAUUGCAUUCUGAAUAUUCUAACUAUUGCAAUUUCCCCAAUUGUGGGAAACAACUGCGUAAUUUGUGGUGGUGGGAGACUGCAUAUGUGCUUCAUCCUG
This is a small nuclear RNA of Cavia porcellus (domestic guinea pig), 162 nucleotides long. Its record names the gene U1. It matches the Rfam family "U1 spliceosomal RNA". Rfam says of the family: U1 is a small nuclear RNA (snRNA) component of the spliceosome (involved in pre-mRNA splicing). Its 5' end forms complementary base pairs with the 5' splice junction, thus defining the 5' donor site of an intron. NCBI's taxonomy places the organism in Eukaryota, Metazoa, Chordata, Mammalia, Rodentia, Caviidae. The record is from Ensembl.